RNAcentral lists this ribosomal RNA (816 nucleotides) under Streptomyces sp. 253(2010). Its description in RNAcentral is "bacterial SSU rRNA". It matches the Rfam family "Bacterial small subunit ribosomal RNA", at positions 44 to 877 of the family's 1533-position model. The record is from RNAcentral. Lineage: Bacteria; Bacillati; Actinomycetota; Actinomycetes; Kitasatosporales; Streptomycetaceae.
GGGCCAAACAUGCAGUCGAACGAUGAAGCCUUUCGGGGUGGAUUAGUGGCGAACGGGUGAGUAACACGUGGGCAAUCUGCCCUUCACUCUGGGACAAGCCCUGGAAACGGGGUCUAAUACCGGAUAACACUCUGUCCCGCAUGGGACGGGGUUAAAAGCUCCGGCGGUGAAGGAUGAGCCCGCGGCCUAUCAGCUUGUUGGUGGGGUAAUGGCCUACCAAGGCGACGACGGGUAGCCGGCCUGAGAGGGCGACCGGCCACACUGGGACUGAGACACGGCCCAGACUCCUACGGGAGGCAGCAGUGGGGAAUAUUGCACAAUGGGCGAAAGCCUGAUGCAGCGACGCCGCGUGAGGGAUGACGGCCUUCGGGUUGUAAACCUCUUUCAGCAGGGAAGAAGCGAAAGUGACGGUACCUGCAGAAGAAGCGCCGGCUAACUACGUGCCAGCAGCCGCGGUAAUACGUAGGGCGCAAGCGUUGUCCGGAAUUAUUGGGCGUAAAGAGCUCGUAGGCGGCUUGUCACGUCGGAUGUGAAAGCCCGGGGCUGAACCCCGGGUCUGCAUUCGAUACGGGCUAGCUAGAGUGUGGUAGGGGAGAUCGGAAUUCCUGGUGUAGCGGUGAAAUGCGCAGAUAUCAGGAGGAACGCCGGUGGCGAAGGCGGAUCUCUGGGCCAUUACUGACGCUGAGGAGCGAAAGCGUGGGAGCGAACAGGAUUAGAUACCCUGGUAGUCCACGCCGUAAACGUUGGGAACUAGGUGUUGGCGACAUUCCACGGUCAUCGGUGCCGCAGCUUAACGCAUUAAGUUCCCCGCCUGGG